Gasterosteus aculeatus aculeatus (three-spined stickleback) is the source of this 1602-nucleotide long non-coding RNA. The record is from Ensembl. NCBI's taxonomy places the organism in Eukaryota, Metazoa, Chordata, Actinopteri, Perciformes, Gasterosteidae.
CCGACCAUUGAACUGACCCCCUGGUAUGAUGAAAGCUUUGUUUGUAUUAGGCCAAUAUCUACAGACAGCGGUGGAGUCCAAUGCAAAUAGAUGAUGGAGGGAAGAUUGCAGUUAAGAGAAGACUUUCCACAUAACACAACAUAAUCCACAGUACCGGACUCCAGUGGAGAUUAGACAGAUAGGUCAUAAGAAAAUAAAAAGAAGGGUUUAGUAUGCUGAAAACUGUGUGAGGGGAUGUCCGCGUUCCAAAACAGACAAUCCGACAAGCUUGCCUGUUUCCUGCAGGAGGAGGCCAGAUGUCAGAACAAGCAGCAACCUAGCGGAGAAGACGGAGGGGCCGAAAACUUGAAGUUCAUCCAACGGCCACCAUCCGCACGGAGCUACGUGUUAAAAGGACCAACUUCACGGCCUACAAAGCAGGACAAAUGCAGCGGUGGUACCAGACAGACGUGCGGUGCCUCGGGGGAAACUCCCCUCCUCUGUGGGCCGAAUGCUGCGCAGGGGAAACCAUCACUCACUGUCCAUGCCUCCGUCAGGAUGGUGACGAUGCUGUCUGUUGGUGUAAGCUUGACGGAUGCCUCACAUGCAGGCGGAGGUCGCCCCGAGAGGGUGGAGGGCCACGAGACACCUUCGGCCACUUUCACAGAGAAAGGAUGGAGCAGAGUAAAUGAUGAUUCUAUCUGUCCACUUAUCAUCCGGCCCCCCCACCACCGUGCACAUGUUAUUUAUUAUGAAAUGACACCUCGCUGUCCGGAGAGCCUGCUGCAGUGGGCGUGAUUCAUAGAGGCGGACCAUGGGACACAGGAAGACCAUUAAAAACCCUAUCAACAUCAUGUCACAGUUGGUGGAAAACGAGGGGGGGGAACUGGACAGCCAGCGAGAUGUUUUAUGGUCAAGCCUGUUUUACAAACGGGGAGUACAGGUCAAGAAACCGUGAUCCAGCCAGGAUCCCAAUUGUGUCAUGAUUGUCUUCCAGCGGAAUAAUCUGAGCAUGGUGGAAACAGUUGGACAUUUUGGUGUGGUUUCUUUUCCGGAUGAGAGUUAGAGGGAAAUAUCUAUAUAACUCUCAUGUGUGAAUGGAAAAAAAUGGAGGCUAAUGUAGAGUUGACAUAUCCUAGUUUGUGAUGUACAAAUGCAAAUAUAAUCCGAUAUAAAGGAAUACUCAAAACUUAGUUCACACAGCGGUUUCAUUGUUUGAGAAUGACAUUUUUGCUGACUGAUGGUAAAAGAAUCCUUCUGUUAGCUUUUCUAAAGCUCCCUAAUAAACAUGUUAGCGUACCAGUCUUUAUGCUAAGCUAGGCUAAGAUGCCUUUUGCUAUUUGAGGCUGCUUCAUAAUUGUCAUACAAACAUGAGAGCGGUAUCAAUCUUUUUUCUUAACUGUUAACAAAAAAAAAAAAGUAAAACCAUUGCUGUACCAGUUUUGGAUGCACAUCCACAUGGAUGUAUUAGAAUAUGGCAUUAUCAAUAUGGCUUUACUGAAACUAUUACAGUAACUCAUGCUUGGCAAAUACACAGAAAACCGUCUGGCAGAUGCAGGUGCCUGAGCUCAAAUGGCAUCAGUGUGAGAAAAAAAAGAAUUCAGCAUCCAAUGUUUAUGAAAC